AGAAACAGACAGGAGCAACGUCUCAAGUCCUUGGGGCUGUUUACGGAAGUGCGCGCCAUGGGAAAGGCGUGACCUGGCGACUGUCGUCAUUGGGAGUCCCUCCUCGCUGUUGCCGGCCCACCUGCAGCUGAUUACCUGAUCAGCUGUUGGUAAUCAUCCCCCUGGCUAGACAGAGGUAUUUAACAUGGACUCGCGGCGACAGUCGACGUGGGAUUAUUACUCCUCACUGGAGAGUCAAGCAGAGAAGCGAGUUGGGGAGCACACACACUAACGGAGUUGCAGUACAGAACGCACUGGGAGCAAGGGAC
Molecule: long non-coding RNA, 308 nt
Organism: Oreochromis aureus
Lineage: Eukaryota; Metazoa; Chordata; Actinopteri; Cichliformes; Cichlidae
Exons: 3
Source: RefSeq, a predicted model, not a curated record